Molecule: ribosomal RNA, 215 nt
Filed under: uncultured bacterium
Lineage: Bacteria
Description: partial 16S ribosomal RNA
Rfam family: Bacterial small subunit ribosomal RNA
Source: RNAcentral
GGACGAACGCUGGCGGCGUGCUUAACACAUGCAAGUCGAGCGGUAAGGCCCUUUCGGGGGUACACGAGCGGCGAACGGGUGAGUAACACGUGGGUGACCUGCCCUCAGCUCUGGGAUAAGCCUGGGAAACCGGGUCUAAUACUGGAUAUGACUCCAUGACGCAUGUUGUGGGUGAAAGCCUUGUGCGGCUGAGGAUGGGCCCGCGGCCUAUCAGC